UCCGGCUUAACGCCGGCAGUCUCCAGUGAAAAAUACAACACUGGAUGAGGGUUUCGCUCGUUUACGGACUUAACCGUACAUCUCACGACACGAGCUGACGGCGACCGUGCAACACCUGUCUUAGGGUUCCUUGCGGCACGGCUCUGUUUCCAGAGCUUUCCCUAGAUGUCAAGCCUGGGUGAGGUGCCCCGCUUGUCGUCGAAUUAAACCACAUGCUCCACCGCUUGUGCGAGCCCCCGUCAAUUCCUUUGAGUUUUAGUCUUGCGACCGUACUUCCCAGGCGGCAGACUUAACGCGUUAGCUUCGGCACAAAGAGGGUCGAUACUCCCAAUGCCUAGUCUGCAUCGUUUACGGCGUGGACUAC
This 364-nucleotide unclassified non-coding RNA is filed under the name uncultured bacterium. Its description in RNAcentral is "contains 16S-23S intergenic spacer region". The record is from RNAcentral.